Molecule: non-coding RNA, 27 nt
Filed under: Homo sapiens (human)
Lineage: Eukaryota; Metazoa; Chordata; Mammalia; Primates; Hominidae
Source: RNAcentral
UGGAGACAACACCGGUGAACCCUCUGC